UCGUCACACUAUCAUUAACUGAAUCCAUAGGUUAAUGAGGCGAACCGGGGGAACUGAAACAUCUAAGUACCCCGAGGAAAAGAAAUCAACCGAGAUUCCCCCAGUAGCGGCGAGCGAACGGGGAGGAGCCCAGAGCCUGAAUCAGCAUGUGUGUUAGUGGAAGCGUCUGGAAAGGCGCGCGAUACAGGGUGACAGCCCCGUACACAAAAGCGCAUGUGCUGUGAGCUCGAUGAGUAGGGCGGGACACGUGGUAUCCUGUCUGAAUAUGGGGGGACCAUCCUCCAAGGCUAAAUACUCCUGACUGACCGAUAGUGAACCAGUACCGUGAGGGAAAGGCGAAAAGAACCCCGGCGAGGGGAGUGAAAAAGAACCUGAAACCGUGUACGUACAAGCAGUGGGAGCACCCUUUGGGUGUGACUGCGUACCUUUUGUAUAAUGGGUCAGCGACUUAUAUUCUGUAGCAAGGUUAACCGAAUAGGGGAGCCGGAGGGAAACCGAGUCUUAACCGGGCGUUAAGUUGCAGGGUAUAGACCCGAAACCCGGUGAUCUAGCCAUGGGCAGGUUGAAGGUUGGGUAACACUAACUGGAGGACCGAACCGACUAAUGUUGAAAAAUUAGCGGAUGACCUGUGGCUGGGGGUGAAAGGCCAAUCAAACCGGGAGAUAGCUGGUUCUCCCCGAAAGCUAUUUAGGUAGCGCCUCGUGAAUUCAUCUCCGGGGGUAGAGCACUGUUUCGGCUAGGGGGCCAUCCCGGCUUACCAACCCGAUGCAAACUGCGAAUACCGGAGAAUGUUAUCACGGGAGACACACGGCGGGUGCUAACGUCCGUCGUGAAGAGGGAAACAACCCAGACCGCCAGCUAAGGUCCCAAAGUCAUGGUUAAGUGGGAAACGAUGUGGGAAGGCCCAGACAGCCAGGAUGUUGGCUUAGAAGCAGCCAUCAUUUAAAGAAAGCGUAAUAGCUCACUGGUCGAGUCGGCCUGCGCGGAAGAUGUAACGGGGCUAAACCAUGCA
Molecule: ribosomal RNA, 1012 nt
Filed under: Salmonella enterica subsp. enterica serovar Enteritidis
Lineage: Bacteria; Pseudomonadati; Pseudomonadota; Gammaproteobacteria; Enterobacterales; Enterobacteriaceae
Description: partial 23S ribosomal RNA
Rfam family: Bacterial large subunit ribosomal RNA
Source: RNAcentral